GGCUCAGAUUGAACGCUGGCGGCAUGCCUUACACAUGCAAGUCGAACGGCAGCACGGGUGCUUGCACCUGGUGGCGAGUGGCGAACGGGUGAGUAAUAUAUCGGAACGUACCUUAUCGUGGGGGAUAACGCAGCGAAAGCUGCGCUAAUACCGCAUACGCCCUGAGGGGGAAAGCGGGGGACCGUAAGGCCUCGCGCGAUUAGAGCGGCCGAUAUCUGAUUAGCUUGUUGGUGGGGUAAAAGCCCACCAAGGCGACGAUCAGUAGCUGGUCUGAGAGGACGAUCAGCCACACUGGGACUGAGACACGGCCCAGACUCCUACGGGAGGCAGCAGUGGGGAAUUUUUGGACAAUGGGGGCAACCCUGAUCCAGCAAUGCCGCGUGAGUGAAGAAGGCCUUCGGGUUGUAAAGCUCUUUUGUCAGGGAAGAAACACCGGCUCUAACACAGUCCGGGAAUGACGGUACCUGAAGAAUAAGCACCGGCUAACUACGUG
This 493-nucleotide ribosomal RNA is filed under the name uncultured bacterium. Its description in RNAcentral is "bacterial SSU rRNA". It matches the Rfam family "Bacterial small subunit ribosomal RNA", at positions 21 to 507 of the family's 1533-position model. The record is from RNAcentral.